Molecule: ribosomal RNA, 515 nt
Filed under: uncultured bacterium
Lineage: Bacteria
Description: partial 16S ribosomal RNA
Rfam family: Bacterial small subunit ribosomal RNA
Source: RNAcentral
GAUGAACGCUGGCGGCGUGCCUAAUACAUGCAAGUCGAGCGAAUGGAUUAAGAGCUUGCUCUUAUGAAGUUAGCGGCGGACGGGUGAGUAACACGUGGGUAACCUGCCCAUAAGACUGGGAUAACUCCGGGAAACCGGGGCUAAUACCGGAUAACAUUUUGAACCGCAUGGUUCGAAAUUGAAAGUCGGCUUCGGCUGGCACUUAUGGAUGGACCCGCGUCGCAUUAGCUAGUUGGUGAGGUAACGGCUCACCAAGGCAACGAUGCGUAGCCGACCUGAGAGGGUGAUCGGCCACACUGGGACUGAGACACGGCCCAGACUCCUACGGGAGGCAGCAGUAGGGAAUCUUCCGCAAUGGACGCAAGUCUGACGGAGCAACGCCGCGUGAGUGAUGAAGGCUUUCGGGUCGUAAAACUCUGUUGUUAGGGAAGAACAAGUGCUAGUUGAAUAAGCUGGCACCUUGACGGUACCUAACCAGAAAGCCACGGCUAACUACGUGCCAGCCGCCGCAGUAA